CCCGGUGCCGUCACAGCCGGCGGGGCGGGAGCGGCGGGCGGGGCCCGGGCAGCCUGUCACGGCCGCUCGGUGCGGUCCCUGUGCCCGCCGGUCUCUUUAGUCGGGAUCUGGGUCGUUUUCCUGGCUUCCUGAAUCCAGUGAGGACUGGCGGGCUGGUCAGCAUGUAGAGUUUGAAGCCAUUUCCCUUUGUCCUAUCACUACAGUUCCUGAUGAAGAGUCCCUCUACAUCUUCCUUGGAGGUGCCCUGCAGAUACUGGAAGAUUGCUAUGAAGUCUCCACACAACCUUCUCCAGGCUGAACAGCCCCAGCUUUCUCAGCCUGUUUUCGUAGGGGAGGUGAUCUGGUUCCAAUCACGCUGAUAAAUGGCUGAAAAUCUGUUUUGCAAGCUAGGAGUGUAUAUGUCGGUAUACACAUGCACACUUGUAUUAAUUUUACAGCUUUAUUGGUGUACUGCUACUCCUUCUUGCUUAGAAAUAUUACUGCUAAUAUAGAAAAGCCUUAACACAUGGCCUUCCUGUGUCACAGUAUUUGUGUGGGUGUAAAAUGUCUCUGAGUGCUUGUACCACACUAAUACAGUUGAGUUGAAGUGGUUUCAAAAUACAGACAAAGCUUCCUGUGUGAGGGGAAAAGGAACACCCUCAAAAACAAACAGGGGACUGAUAGAUACAAACUGUCUAUGCAGUAGCUAAAUGCUUACUGUCUGCCUAAUGAAAAAUUUGUUCAUAUGCAAAAAUCAGUAAGUACCAAAGUUUCUCUUUUUUUAUUUCCAGGUGAUGUCAUACCUAGAACUCUGUAUUUGAGUGAGUUUGACAACUAGUCAAAAUCAUGACAAAAUAUGAAUUCUUACUAAGUCCUGUCAAGAUAGUUGUGAUCUAUUAAAACUGAUGUUACAAAUUA
Long non-coding RNA from Pseudopipra pipra, 897 nucleotides. RefSeq lists it as uncharacterized. The record is from RefSeq and is a predicted model, not a curated record. Lineage: Eukaryota; Metazoa; Chordata; Aves; Passeriformes; Pipridae. The transcript is spliced from 2 exons.